This 1397-nucleotide ribosomal RNA is filed under the name metagenome. RNAcentral's name for it is "bacterial LSU rRNA". It matches the Rfam family "Bacterial large subunit ribosomal RNA", at positions 1513 to 2925 of the family's 2925-position model. The record is from RNAcentral.
UAAGCAGUGAGGUGGUCAUGUAGGCAAAUCCGCAUGGCAUAACAUUGAGCUGUGAUGCCGAAGCCGUAUGGCGAAGUCAACUGAUGUCACGCUUCCAAGAAAAGCUUCUAGGGUUAAUUUAGUAAGUGCCCGUACCGAUAACCGACACAGGUAGGCGAGGAGAGAAUCCUAAGAUGAGCGAGGGAACUCUUGUUAAGGAACUCGGCAAAAUGACCCCGUAACUGCGGGAGAAGGGGUGCUUGUGAAAGCAAGCCGCAGUGAAUAGGCCCAGGCGACUGUUUAUCAAAAACACAGGUCUCUGCUAAACCGCAAGGUGAUGUAUAGGGGCUGACGCCUGCCCGGUGCUGGAAGGUUAAGAGGAGAGGUUAGCGCAAGCGAAGCUUUGAAUUGAAGCCCCAGUAAACGGCGGCCGUAACAAUAACGGUCCUAAGGUAGCGAAAUUCCUUGUCGGGUAAGUUCCGACCCGCACGAAAGGCGUAACGAUCUGGGCGCUGUCUCAACAAGAGACUCGGUGAAAUCAUAGUACCUGUGAAGAUGCAGGUUACCCGCGACAGGACGGAAAGACCCCGUGGAGCUUUACUGUAGCUUGAUAUUGAGCACUGGUGACACAUGUACAGGAUAGGUAGGAGACGAAGAAGCCAGGACGCCAGUCUUGGUGGAGUCGCUGUUGGGAUACUACCCUUGUGUUACUGGGGUUCUAACCCGUGGCCAUGAUCUGGUCAGGGAACAGUGUCAGGUGGGCAGUUUGACUGGGGCGGUCGCCUCCCAAAGAGUAACGGAGGCGCCCAAAGGUUCCCUCAGAAUGGUUGGAAAUCAUUCGAAGAGUGUAAAGGCAGAAGGGAGCUUGACUGCGAGACCUACAAGUCGAGCAGGGACGAAAGUCGGGCUUAGUGAUCCGGCGGUACCGAAUGGAAGGGCCGUCGCUCAACGGAUAAAAGCUACCCCGGGGAUAACAGGCUGAUCUCCCCCAAGAGUUCACAUCGACGGGGAGGUUUGGCACCUCGAUGUCGGCUCAUCGCACCCUGGGGCUGUAGUCGGUCCCAAGGGUUGGGCUGUUCGCCCAUUAAAGCGGUACGCGAGCUGGGUUCAGAACGUCGUGAGACAGUUCGGUCCCUAUCCGUCGUGGGCGUAGGAAAUUUGAGAGGAGCUGUCCUUAGUACGAGAGGACCGGGAUGGACACACCGCUGGUGUACCAGUUGUUCUGCCAGGAGCAUAGCUGGGUAGCUACGUGUGGACGGGAUAAACGCUGAAAGCAUCUAAGCGUGAAGCCCCCCUCAAGAUGAGAUUUCCCAUUCGAAAGAAGUAAGAUCCCUUGAAGACGACAAGGUAGAUAGGUCAGAAGUGGAAGUGUGGUGACACAUGGAGCGGACUGAUACUAAUCGAUCGAGGACUUAAUC